This is a long non-coding RNA of Xenia sp. Carnegie-2017, 453 nucleotides long. RefSeq lists it as uncharacterized. The transcript has 3 exons. The record is from RefSeq and is a predicted model, not a curated record. NCBI's taxonomy places the organism in Eukaryota, Metazoa, Cnidaria, Anthozoa, Malacalcyonacea, Xeniidae.
UGUACGACGAAUAGUUAGCUGAAGUUGAAAUUAUUCCUUGGUGAAAUAUCUCCUGAAGUGCUCUGAAAAAAAUGUUCAGACAUGAACAUUCUCUUAAACGACAUGUAGUCAUCAAAUGAGAUUGAAAAACAGCAAACAAAUGUUGGCGUAUUUACCAUGAGGGUGGACUCUACAAUUAAAGAAAAUGGUUCACAGCGAUUGAAGAGAAUUGUGGCUGUUGUUGACCAUUUCCUCGACGCUGGUCUAAACAUAUGAACAAAAUACAAUCCUGUAAUUUGGUUGAAAUUCUUCUUCCCUUGAACUACAUUACUAGUGAAUAAAAUGUUCAAUAAACCUUUAAUGAAAUCCUCUGAGCAAUGAUCAAGUUAGAACAAUGAUCAAGUUAAAACAAUGAUCAAGAAUGAUGAAGUCCUCUGAACAAUGAUCAAGAAUGAACAAUAUACUUUCAUUAGU